This 273-nucleotide unclassified non-coding RNA is filed under the name uncultured Gammaproteobacteria bacterium. RNAcentral's name for it is "contains 16S-23S intergenic spacer region". Lineage: Bacteria; Pseudomonadati; Pseudomonadota; Gammaproteobacteria. The record is from RNAcentral.
UCCGGUUUGUCACCGGCAGUCUCAUUAGAGUGCCCAACUAAAUGUAGCAACUAAUGACAAGGGUUGCGCUCGUUGCGGGACUUAACCCAACAUCUCACGACACGAGCUGACGACAGCCAUGCAGCACCUGUCUCACGAUUCCCGAAGGCACCCGGACAUUUCUGCCCAGUUCCGUGGAUGUCAAGACCAGGUAAGGUUCUUCGCGUUGCAUCGAAUUGAACCACAUGCUCCACCGCUUGUGCGGAAGUCGCUAGAGAUAGCUUCGUGCUCGAA